CCUACGGGUGGCAGCAGUGGGGAAUAUUGCGCAAUGGGCGAAAGCCUGACGCAGCGACGCCGCGUGAGGGAUGAAGGUCUUCGGAUCGUAAACCUCUGUCAGCAGGGAAGAACGGUCACUGUGCUAAUCAGCAGUGAAUUGACGGUACCUGCAAAGGAAGCACCGGCUAACUCCGUGCCAGCAGCCGCGGAAAUACGGAGGGUGCGAGCGUUAAUCGGAAUUACUGGGCGUAAAGCGCUCGUAGGCGGUAUGUCAAGUCAAGGGUGAAAUCCCCGCGCUCAACGUGGGAACUGCCAUUGAAACUGGCAAACUGGAGUGUGUGAGAGGAUAGUGGAAUUCGAGGUGUAGGAGUGAAAUGCGUAGAUAUCUGGAGGAACAUCAGUGGCGAAGGCGACUAUCUGGCACAUAACUGACGCUGAGGAGCGAAAGCGUGGGGAGCAAACAGGAUUAGAUACCCUUGUAGUC
Molecule: ribosomal RNA, 465 nt
Filed under: uncultured bacterium
Lineage: Bacteria
Description: partial 16S ribosomal RNA
Rfam family: Bacterial small subunit ribosomal RNA
Source: RNAcentral